RNAcentral lists this unclassified non-coding RNA (293 nucleotides) under air metagenome. Its description in RNAcentral is "partial contains small subunit ribosomal RNA, internal transcribed spacer 1, and 5.8S ribosomal RNA". The stretch from base 1 to 46 matches the Rfam family "Eukaryotic small subunit ribosomal RNA", at positions 1786 to 1831 of the family's 1831-position model. The record is from RNAcentral.
AAGUCGUAACAAGGUUUCCGUAGGUGAACCUGCGGAAGGAUCAUUAUCGAUUCAAACCAAAUGAGAGGGAAGUUGUUAUAGUAGUGCUGGCCUCUGUAAUGGAGGUAUUGUGCACGCUCGACUUCUUCCUUUCUUCAUUUACACACCUGUGAACUUGUUGUAGGGUUGUCUCGCAAGAGACGCUCUAUGUCUUUCUCAUAUACUCCAUAAUGUUUAUAGAAUGUACCUUUUUGCUCUCGUCAGAGACAAAAAUAAAGCCUUUAUAACUUUCAGCAACGGAUCUCUUGGCUCUC